GUGGCCACUCCGUGUGCCCGCGAACCCCCGCGGGUCCCUGCCACCCUCACAGUGGGGCACCCGAGCCCUGGCUUGCCCUCAGCCCGUUCACAUUCGGACCCUUGUCCCCAGAACACACCCUCCUCACCCCCACAUCUUUGCACAGACCGAUCCGGUGACUGCCUCCGAGCCCUGCACCCGCUCAGCUGCUGACUGUCCCCCUGCUGGUGUCUCCUACCUCCCGUGACAGGCCCGGUGUCCCCCUGAGAGCUGGUGCUCUCGCCGCUCCCCCCAUCACAGCGGCUCCCGCCCGUGUGGCGCUGCCUUACCCCCCACCCCCCGUGCUGUGAGCUCCCCCGGGAGGAGCCGUCCCGCUUCCCGGCCUGGGUGCACACCGGCACCGAGCCUGGCUCGGGGCCGGAGCCCAGGACCCCAGUAUAUGACUCGGGGGGACGACUCGGCGAGGGCCAUAGCCAGAAGGAAGAGUUGAGGGAAUUCGUUUCUGAUGGGCAAGACCCCAGCAAGGAGUCACUGUAGCAAGUGGGGGCCGCGGGGGGGCCUCCCGCGCGGUGGUCAUCCCCCCCGGGUCCGUGAUGACAGUCCCCAUGGUCUGCCACGCUGUCGCCUUCCGCGAUGGUGACCGGGCCUGUCCACGUUGCCCUGAGCAACAGGUGGGCCGGCUUGUGCUCGGUUUCCCUGGGCGCCUGAGGCGGCCUCCUCCCUGCCUCCACCAGCCCCACUGUGCAGACCAGGCCCGUCCUAGACGUGUGGACGCCCAGACCGGCCCACGGGCGCAGUGCUUUGAAAGAGGUCCCCUGGCCUCCGUGUCUCAUGAGCAUUAGGAAAAGGCAUUUCAGAUUUCCAGAUGCGUUUUUCUUAAACGGCAGAGUCCCGUGUGCACAGUCGAUUUUAAUCCCUCUGAUGGGGGCGCAGGGAAUUAUGUCCUCGUCUGAUUUUAUAGAACCUUUCCCCAGCUGUUACCACGUGGAGUUUGGAAAGCACAGUCGUGAGGCCUUCAGGAGAACAUACGUGUUUUGUUACCACCUUUCCUGUCUCCGGCAGUGUGUUAGAUGUGUGCGCGUGUGGGAGAGACAGAUAGGGAGACGGGGACAGAGGGAGAGGCUGGGGUUCUCCCUGAACACUUAGCCGCCUCAGCUCCGUGAGCAUGGCCAUUGGGAAGAGCAAGAUGGGGCCUGGUCUGCGCCCAGAGCCUGACCGAGCUCACUGCCUCCCAAAAGCUGUUGAGUGGUUCCGAACAAGAAAGAACGUUCCCGAGCUUUCCUUGAUGUGCCUCCAGGUAACUCAUUCUCUUGGGUUGAAUCUUUAAAAUGUCUUGGACAAAUUUCUGCUCAUUUCUUCUACUUGGUUUCUCCGUUGUGUAUUCUUUGUAAAGCGUAGGAGACAAGGUUGCGCUCCGUACGCAUUAACGUGCUGAUUCCUACGCUGAGGCGUGUUCCUUCGUGUCUGAGCCGGGCCCCGCUGCCUCUGCUCUCAAGCCACCCGGUGCUGAGAGACACUCAGAGGCGAGAGGCGGGGCCGUGGCUCCGGGCGCCUGCGGGAGGACCUCGUGGGACGCCGCGUGUGGCCUCACCAAGUUCCCCGAAGCCCGCUGAAAGUGGCCAGAGUAGCGGGCAGUUCCCAGGGCGGCCGUCGGAAGUCUGGUCCCAGUGGCAAAGCCAGCACCACGGCCCGCAGAGCGGUGAGCAGCACUCCCACCAGCAGUCCGGUCAGGCCGAAGUGUUCCAGGACAUGCUGCCCAUGCCCGGAGAUCCGACCCAGGGGACCGGCAACUAUAACAUUGAAGACUUCGCGGACCUGGGCAUGUUCCCGCCGUUUUCUGAGUAGCGGCAGGCAGAUUGCGGCCGGCGCUGGGCAGUGCCCCCCACGCGCGCGGGACCCCCCCACGCCCUGCUUGCCCCGCCUGCCCCGCCACGGGACCCCCCAGCGGAAGGCCUCUCACCCCCAUGCUCCCCCCAGCACAGCAUCGCUCAGCCUGCAGCCGGGGCUGCCCGGCCACCCACCAGGAGCCCUGGUGGAUACUGGGGAGUUGCUGUAUUUAUUGUACUCUUAUCUGUGUAUGCUUGGGAGGUGAGCCCGUCGGGUCCUGGAGGUCUGGUUGUGAAUAAUCUCAUAGCAGACAGUGUCCACCUAUAAAACGUCCGGUCCCCGUCCCAAGUGCCCAGGCCUGCCCAGGACACGGGAAUGGGUUUCUUCUUGCCUUUGACAUCUGUGGAUGGGUGGGGCUCGGGUGCUGGAAGGGAGGCGAGCAGGAUGCACGGCCUUUGUUCUCCGAGCUGGGACCCAGAGGUGGACCCCGCUCCCCGUUCCCAGCUCAGCCAAGUCUGUGUGUGCGUCCGUCCAUCCGUCAUGCUGUGGGAUGUGUGUACUCUGUGCGGUGUGAUGUGAAUCCCUGUCCUGAUGGGUGUGCUAUGCCCCGUACGUGCCGUGUGGCCAGAGUGAGCGUCCAGAAUCCAGGGGCCCCCCCGCGCAGCCCCCACCCCCAGCGCAGCACCCCCUGGCUGGAGGGAGCUUGGCCCAGGGCCUGGGCGCCGGGCUGGGCGGAGCAGGCUGACGUUCCAUGGUGUCGCCGGGAGUCGUGGCUGGGAACCUGCUUGCCUUCGUGGGUCAGCUCCCGGGUGCAGGCGCCCCUCUGAGAGGAAGCGGCCCCCUCCUCUUCCAGGAGGCCCCCGAGGGAGCACUGGCCCUUCCUGGUUACGCGCAGGUGUCUCCCCCCUGGUUCCCAGCCAGCGCCUGCCAAGGGCACACCUUGAGGUCACAGAGCCCGAGGCCCUUCUGCAGAGGACUGGACAGGAAGGCAGGACGUCCGGGCCUCGGCGGCCACAUUACGCUCAGCAGCUCUGGAGCUGGUUCAGGUGUGGUCCCGUGCGUGGAGACAGGAGUUCAGAAACCUCUCCCAGCAGGCCGCCUGGCCUUCCUUCUGCAGCCACCGGGGGCAGAGUGCAGGUCUGUGAGGCAGAAGGCUGGGCUUCCCGUUCUGAUUCUGGUACGCACUCACCGGGGCCUUGAAUUCCUCAGAUGGCCUCGAGACGGGAGCAAGAGCUGCCUUCCAGAAGCUUCUGCCUGGCUGAGCCCAUGGUCCCUGGCUUGCUGUGUUUCCCUCUAUUCAGUGGCCUCGCGCCCCUGUGCCCCGUGCCCUGAGACAGGCUCUCCACCUCUCGUCUCUGUCUUUUCCUGACAGCCAGGCUUCCGUUUGGCCUCACCGUCCAUGGGCUCGCUGCCUCCCAUGUGGGAGGAACGCUACACUCGCGGCCCGGCAGGUGGAGGAGCCCGCCCCCAGGACAGCCCUGCAUCUCUCCCGGGGUCCCUCAGGCAGACCUCCUCAGGCACCCGGCUCAGAAACAACCCGUGUCCCCCCCACCCCCAGGAUUUCGGAGGGCCAGCCGAGUGUGGAGGGUUCUGAGCUGCCUGAGGGCAGAGUGAGCCCAGCGGGCAGGAAGGAGCCGGGGGUGGGGUGGGGGGUUGCCUGGACCUCUGCACGCUCUGCGUUAAACGCCGGCCCCUGUGCGGGGUCCAGAGGGGACCCCUGCGCCCUGUCUUGCUUGGAGAGCUCCACCUACAAAAGUCCAAAGUCGUUUGGUAGCAUUCCUGUGGCUGGUAGUCCGCUCUGUGCGCUCCCAGUUCCUAGACUCUAAAUGCACACAGACUGAACAGUUCCUAGAGCGGCUUUUAAUCCUUUGCGUAUAGCGGUGAUUGAGUCCCAGGUUCAGGUUGUUUUACCCUCAGGAGCCUCUUCGCUUCAGGGGACAUGGUGGGCCCGACAGUGCCAGAGCCAGAGGGGGCUCCCCCGUGUGGGCCCUGCCCUUGGGGUCACCUCCGCCUCCGCAGCCUGAGCCUACCCCAAGCAGGGGACACGAUCAUUUCCAAGAAAGGCGCAGAAAUCACUUUCAGAUCAAAGAAUGGUUUCUCUGUGAAACAGAAACAGACUUUUUGUGGCCUUUCACCUGUGAGUUUGGAAGUUUGGGGGGUUUCAUGUUUGCUUUUUCCUUGUUUCCUGGAGAGAACUGGGGAUUUCCUUAGAUGUGUCCAUCAGGUUGACGCUGUGACCCGGGGCUGCGCUGGACACCGAGGGGAUGCGGACCAGGGGAACAAGCCUUGCAGCCACUUCUGUCUGUUGGGGUGCAGACAACUCAAGGCUCGGUCCUGGAAGGCAGGGACCGUCGGUGACUGAGGCCGGGCGUGAUGGGGAGUACCGUGACUCGGGCGGCCCGGCCCCCUUCCUUCCGGCUCUGUCCCAGGAGCCUCGACAGGGAAGCCCACGGCAGUCCGAUCGGCCUGCAGGAGCGCUCUGUCCUCUCGACUCCCCAUCCUACUCCUUGGUUGUGAUUCUUGGAGGCCAUCCCGUGACCAGUAAGAAAACAGACAGGACUAGAAGGAUCUCUGACGCAAGAGAUGCAGCCCCCACCCCGAGGAAUCUUGCGCCAGACCGGAAUAAGAGUUAAAACCACAGAGGGUCUCAUCCCAGUUUGGAGGAGCGCGUCCUGUGCCAGGCCUGCGCAGCCAGGAGGGGACUGUGUGUGGACCCUCUGUUGGCACGGCGUCCAGCCAGGCCCCGCCCAGACUCCUCUCCCAGCUCUGCCGGGACGCACUCCCUCACUCACACCCCCUCACUCACACCCCCUCUCCUUGGGCCCGGCAGGCCGGCCUUCCACAGAACAGGCCGGAGCCUUGGGGGAGGACACAAGGCAGCCAUUUUGAGGCUCACACAGGACUUGGCUGGUGACGGUGGCUGUGGCCGUGGAGGUUCUAGAACAUUCUACCUACGUCUCCCUCCCACGAGUUUUGUUUUUAGCUGUGGUUUCAGGGAGUGAUAGAGCCAUCGCAAACAGCCGCGUUCUCUUCUGCUUCCUGAUAUAUUAAACCCACCCCCUUUGCUGUUUCAUGAAUCCCUUGUGGAGAACGGGAGCGUGCUGAGAGUUGAUGGAACUGCCGUCAGGGAGCUCGGACCUUCAGCCAGUAAAGAAACCGUAUCUCCCCCCAGAUUAGCCACACGUGACCGUGACCUCCCAUCCACGUCUGCCAGCCUUAGCCAAGAGAUGGGACGGGCCCUGGGGAAAUGAGUGGUGGCCUCAACCUUGUACAUCAGCCCUUGGGAGCAGCCGAGCUCUGCUGGGACCGUGACCUCCACCCACCUGGGCCCACCUGUUCCCUGCCAGUUAGGACCUGUCGCCUAGCCAGACCAGUCAAAGCGCUAGUGAGUCACGAGUCAGGACACAAGUGGUCCUGGUCGUACCGGAAACUAGGAGUCUGGUCGUCACUUGCCAGGGACCCAUUCCCUCCUCCCUCCAGCCAGUCCUUGUGUGGUGUGUGGUAAGGGGGCCGCUCCCCCUUUCCCUCCGCUGCAGGGGUCUGGGACAACCUGAGAGGCACCUGCCAUGGUGCCGGCAGCCAUUCAUGGAGAGAGCUGCCUGGGUCUUGUGGCCAAAGCUGGUUUUGUGGUCCAGCAACCAGCCAAAGCCUGUGUGGGGGCACCGACCGGGAAGGGAGAGGCUGUGCCAGACGCGGGGCGGCUGGCUCCCCGGGACAGCCUCGUUCUCCUUCGGAGGUGACAGGCUUCCGUGGACAAUGUCAGCACCUCAUCAUUUCCCUUGUAGCCUUUCUUCGUAUGGCCGUGAGCUGUGCUGUGGAUAAAUCAUCAUUUGUAUUUCUUGAAUGUUCUCUAGGACUAACAGUUAUUGAGUUGGUUGUGUAUAUGUGUAACUAAUGUAACUGCCUUUUAAAAUUCCAUUACAAUAAAAAUGACUUUGCUCUGAACAGUGAA
Molecule: non-coding RNA, 5758 nt
Organism: Leptonychotes weddellii (Weddell seal)
Lineage: Eukaryota; Metazoa; Chordata; Mammalia; Carnivora; Phocidae
Source: RefSeq, a predicted model, not a curated record